AGAUGUUUUGAAUAAUGUCCGGGGGUAAAAGACCCAGUAUCAUGCAGCAGGCCCAGCAUAGAACUAAAGAAGAGGAGAAGAGGAUUCACCAGAGUCUUCUGGAUUUAAACGUGCAAGUCGCAACAUUUAGAGAUUUGUUAGUACAUGUUGGCGGACCAAGGGAUACACCGGAAAUGAGAGAGAGAAUAAGACGAGUCCGACGAGUUUGUUUAG
This is a long non-coding RNA of Eurytemora carolleeae, 213 nucleotides long. RefSeq lists it as uncharacterized. The record is from RefSeq and is a predicted model, not a curated record. The transcript has 3 exons. Lineage: Eukaryota; Metazoa; Arthropoda; Copepoda; Calanoida; Temoridae.